RNAcentral lists this ribosomal RNA (252 nucleotides) under uncultured bacterium. RNAcentral describes it as "partial 16S ribosomal RNA". It matches the Rfam family "Bacterial small subunit ribosomal RNA", at positions 524 to 776 of the family's 1533-position model. The record is from RNAcentral.
UACAUGGGGAGCGAGCGUUAUCCGGAAUUAUUGGGCGUAAAGCGUGUGUAGGCGGUUUGUUAAGUUAGAUGUGAAAUGCGACAGCUCAACUGUCGUUGGCAUUUAAAACUGGCAGACUAGAGUAUGGUAGAGGCAAGUGGAAUUCCAAGUGUAGCGGUAAAAUGCGUAGAUAUUUGGAGGAACACCAGUGGCGAAGGCGGCUUGCUGGGCCAGGACUGACGCUGAGACACGAAAGCGUGGGGAGCAAACAGG